CAUACACAUUAGCACACUGAUACAUGCACACAUCUGGACACAUGCACAGACUGAUACAAACAGACUGGCGUAUACACACACAGACACAUACAUACAUACACACACACACACAGAUACAAAGAUAAAAACACUGGCACAUCCACACACAGAGAUACACACUUACACACACUGACACAGAUAUAGACACACAUUAAGAUGCACACAGACACACGGGUACACAUGCAGGGGUGUAUUUGUGUGCAGUGUUGGCAAAGGAAUGCUGGGAUGUAUGCAUUGCCACACAGAUGCACACUUACACAAACACUGAGAUACACACAGGAACACAGAUACACAUGCAGUGGUGUAUUUGUGUGCAGUGUUAGCGUUGGAAUGUAGUAGUGUAUAUGUGUGCAGUGUUGGUACUGGAAUGAUGGAACGUAUGCAUUGCCACACGCAUAGAUACACACUUACACAACCUGACACUCAUAUACAUACACAGACACGCAGGUACACAUACAAACUGACACACAAGUACACGGACACAGGUAUACAUCCACAUAGAUACACAUAAACACUGACACAAAGGUACACAUACACUGACACAAACACAGCCAGAUACACACACACUGACACUCACACAGCCAGAUACACACAUACAGCCAGAUACAAACGCACACACAUACAGAUACACACGCAUAAAGUCAGAUACACACACACACAGUCAGAUACACACACACACAGUCAGAUACACACACAGACAUAGUCAGAUACACACACAUAGUCAGAUACACACACACAGUCAGAUACACACACAUAGUCAGAUACACACACAUAGUCAGAUAUACACACACAGUCAGAUACACACACACAGUCAGAUAUACACACACACAGUCAGAUACACACACAUAGUCAGAUACACACACACACAGUCAGAUACACACACACAGUCAGAUACACACACACACAGUCAGAUACACACAUAGUCAGAUACACACACACAUAGUCAGAUACACACACAUAGUCAGAUACACACA
Molecule: non-coding RNA, 1013 nt
Organism: Pelobates cultripes (western spadefoot toad)
Lineage: Eukaryota; Metazoa; Chordata; Amphibia; Anura; Pelobatidae
Source: the annotation of a GenBank genome assembly